RNAcentral lists this transfer RNA (73 nucleotides) under Verrucomicrobiota bacterium. Its description in RNAcentral is "tRNA-Thr". It matches the Rfam family "tRNA". Rfam says of the family: Transfer RNA (tRNA) molecules are approximately 80 nucleotides in length. Their secondary structure includes four short double-helical elements and three loops (D, anti-codon, and T loops). Further hydrogen bonds mediate the characteristic L-shaped molecular structure. tRNAs have two regions of fundamental functional importance: the anti-codon, which is responsible for specific mRNA codon recognition, and the 3' end, to which the tRNAs corresponding amino acid is attached (by aminoacyl-tRNA synthetases). tRNAs cope with the degeneracy of the genetic code in two manners: having more than one tRNA (with a specific anti-codon) for a particular amino acid; and 'wobble' base-pairing, i.e. permitting non-standard base-pairing at the 3rd anti-codon position. RNAcentral also lists the same sequence under 2 other names. Lineage: Bacteria; Pseudomonadati; Verrucomicrobiota. The record is from RNAcentral.
GCCGGCUUAGCUCAGUUGGUAGAGCAGCUGAUUUGUAAUCAGCAGGUCGUCGGUUCGAACCCGUCAGCCGGCU